This 576-nucleotide ribosomal RNA is filed under the name uncultured eukaryote. RNAcentral's name for it is "bacterial SSU rRNA". It matches the Rfam family "Eukaryotic small subunit ribosomal RNA", at positions 203 to 779 of the family's 1831-position model. The record is from RNAcentral.
GAUUUAUUAGAACAAAACCAACCGGCUAUGCCGGUAGUUUGGUGACUCUGGAUAACUUUGCUGAUCGCACGGCCUUGAGCCAGCCACGUAUCUUUCAAGUGUCUGCCCUAUCAACUAUUGAUGGUAGGUUACAUGCCUACCAUGGUGAUGACGGGUAACGGGGAAUCAGGGUUCGAUUCCGGAGAGGGAGCCUUAGAAACGGCUACCACAUCUAAGGAAGGCAGCAGGCGCGCAAAUUACCCACUCUCGGAUAGAGGAGGUAGUGACGAAAAAUAACAAUACAGGACUCUAUGAGGCCCCGUAAUUGGAAUGAGAACAUUCCAAACAGAUUAUCGAGUACCAAUUGGAGGGCAAGUCUGGUGCCAGCAGCCGCGGUAACUCCAGCUCCAAUAGCGUAUAUUAAUGCUGCUGCAAUUAAAAAGCUCGUACUUGGAUCUCAUGACGGAUCUGGCGGCACCUCGUUUGGGGUUUCAGCUGUCAGUAUCCUCCUAACGAGCUGAAUGUUGUUGCAUGUGCUCUUUAUUGGGUGGGUGUAACGCUCAGCAUGUUUACUUUGAACAAAUUACAGUGCUCAAA